Non-coding RNA from Parascardovia denticolens, 398 nucleotides. It matches the Rfam family "transfer-messenger RNA". From Rfam's summary of the family: Bacterial tmRNA, also known as 10Sa RNA or SsrA, is named for its dual tRNA and mRNA-like properties. Lineage: Bacteria; Bacillati; Actinomycetota; Actinomycetes; Bifidobacteriales; Bifidobacteriaceae. The record is from Rfam.
GGGGUCGAUCGGUUUCGACGGUGAUCUGUUCGUCACUGGGAAGCGUGCCGAGAACGCAGGGGUCCGCUCGUUAAUGUCCUCCUGCAAAAAUCAAGUGCUAAAUCCAAUCGCACUGAGUUCGCCCUUGCUGCCUAAGCUUCGCGCUAGGAUCUAACCAGCGAGUUCGCGACUCCGUUCACUCCCCCUCGUCUUCGGAGGGAUGCUGAGCGUUAUGAGAAGACUUGCCUGAAGCGUUGAGACUCAAGGCGUUUCAGGGACUUUCAUUGCGUCUAUGCCUGCCGCGCGUGGUUUGCGUCAGCGCGGGGGCAGACAGAUAGCCAAACGGCCAGCAAACUACGCACGUAGAAGACAGCGGGUACGGUUACCGGACCGGGGUUCGAUUCCCCGCGGCUCCACCA